UCGGGAAUUUUGGGCAAUGGGCGAAAGCCUGACCCAGCAACGCCGCGUGAAGGAUGAAGUAUUUCGGUAUGUAAACUUCGAAAGAAUAGGAAGAAUAAAUGACGGUACUAUUUGUAAGGUCCGGCUAACUACGUGCCAGCAGCCGCGGUAAUACGUAGGGACCAAGCGUUGUUCGGAUUUACUGGGCGUAAAGGGUGCGUAGGCGGCAUAUCAAGUCACUUGUGAAAUCUCCGGGCUUAACUCGGAACUGCCAAGUGAUACUGAUGUGCUAGAGUGCAGAAAGGGCAACUGGAAUUCUUGGUGUAGCGGUGAAAUGCGUAGAUAUCAAGAGGAACACCUGAGGCGAAGGCGAGUUGCUAGGCUGACACUGACGCUGAGGUACGAAAGCGUGGGUAGCGAACAGGAUUAGAUACCCAUGUAGUCCCUGAGCGGGCUGGCAAGGCGCAU
RNAcentral lists this ribosomal RNA (447 nucleotides) under uncultured bacterium. RNAcentral's name for it is "bacterial SSU rRNA". It matches the Rfam family "Bacterial small subunit ribosomal RNA", at positions 355 to 825 of the family's 1533-position model. The record is from RNAcentral.